Molecule: long non-coding RNA, 243 nt
Filed under: Mytilus galloprovincialis (Mediterranean mussel)
Lineage: Eukaryota; Metazoa; Mollusca; Bivalvia; Mytilida; Mytilidae
Source: RNAcentral
CUGCUUUCUUAUGUCUAGAAAUGUUUGUGGGGUCUUUGUCUGUCCUCCCUUAACAUUAAUCCAAGUUUUAAUCAAUUGCUGAUAGAACUCAGGAAGGGAUUUAAAUAUUUUUUUGUCUAACAUAUUAACAUUUUUAAUGUUCAUUUGAAAUAUCAAAAGGUUUUUACCAAAUUUGUUUAAGUAAACUUGGGGUAUGAUUGACCAAUUUUCACCAGAAUUUUGUUUAAGUUUUAAAAUCCAGCG